GUUUCUUUGUUAAUUAACUGAUGAAUACUUGCCUCUUGGUCCGUGUUUAUGAGAAACAUGAUUCUAUAAGAGGUCUGAUUUUUAUAUAUAAUAUGUAAUGAAAUGACUAGCCCUUUUGUAGUUAUGUUUAGCAUAGUCCAAUCUUCAGGUGUGCAGAAGUGAGAAAUUUUGUAUGGGCUAGUGCAAGUUAUGCUACAGUUGUCCAGUCAACCUUGCCACUUGCCUACAAAGGUGGAUUGAUGAAGUCUUCAGUUUCUGCAUCUGGACAGUCUUUUGUAUGGGAAUGGACUAAUUGCUGUGGCAGUAUGAGAUGGUACCUAAAAUGAACUUACGGCCACAGUGAAUUGAACAUUUAUUUUAUUCGUCCAGUCUAACAUCGUGAAGCUGUUAGCAGACCACUUCAGGUGUGCAGAAGUGAGAAAUUUUGUAUGGGCUAGUACAAGUUAUGCUACAGUUGUCCAGUCAACCUUGCCACUUGCCUACAAAGGUGGAUUGAUGAAGUCUUCAGUUUCUGCAUCUGGACAGUCUUGUAUACGUAAGCAAGAGGUUCCAUGUCGGCGAAGGCUCGAGUCUUUGCAACAGACAUUGCAUCCAGUGGACUCUUUAGGCUACAGCCUUGUGUAAUGUUCCUUGUGUGGAUACUAGAGAAGCUCAGCCUUUUGAAAAUUGCUCCGUGGUCAAGAUGACAGGUUUUUGCAACUCGACAGUCUGGUAAGAAUAUUCAGCCAGUCUGCAAUAGUUAAGCUUUGCUAGCAGACCACACUAGGGCAAGGAAUGGUGUCCCGAUGUGACUUCUUGUGAAACUACCGAGACUAGCUUUUUGCCAGUUGGACGAGUGAUAAUGGACUAAAGUAGACUCGGUGUUGAACAAAGAAUGGGACUAAAAUUAGUGUUAAGCUGAUUGAUCUGCCUCCUCUCCCUUUACUAAAUCUUAGCACCAAUUAUUGCUUUCUUGUCUGUAUAUUAUGCUCAACCUUGACAUCUGACUUAAAUAUGCCUGGUAUACAGGUGAUAUGUCUGUUUCCUAAAGCUACACUUGUCUACAUAAAUCAUCCUGCAUUUGUCAUUGGUGCUACUAUUAAAGUUCACUACUUGCUACA
Non-coding RNA from Cherax quadricarinatus, 1100 nucleotides. NCBI's taxonomy places the organism in Eukaryota, Metazoa, Arthropoda, Malacostraca, Decapoda, Parastacidae. The record is from RefSeq and is a predicted model, not a curated record.